RNAcentral lists this ribosomal RNA (496 nucleotides) under uncultured bacterium. RNAcentral describes it as "partial 16S ribosomal RNA". It matches the Rfam family "Bacterial small subunit ribosomal RNA", at positions 28 to 506 of the family's 1533-position model. The record is from RNAcentral.
GAUGAACGCUGGCGGCGUGCCUAAUACAUGCAAGUCGAGCGAACAGACGAGGAGCUUGCCCCUCUGACGUUAGCGGCGGACGGGUGAGUAACACGUGGAUAACCUACCUAUAAGACUGGGAUAACUUCGGGAAACCGGAGCUAAUACCGGAUAAUAUAUUGAACCGCAUGGUUCAAUAGCGAAAGACGGUUUUGCUGUCACUUAUAGAUGGAUCCGCGCCGCAUUAGCUAGUUGGUAAGGUAACGGCUUACCAAGGCAACGAUGCGUAGCCGACCUGAGAGCGGGAUCGGCCACACUGAAGGUGAGACCCGGUCCAGACACCUACGGGAGGCAGCAGUAGGGAAGCUUCCGAGAAGGGCGAAAGCUUGAAGGAGCAACGCAGGGUGGGUGAUGAAGGUCUUCGGGUCGUAAAACUCUGUUAUGGGGGAAGAACAAAUGUGUAAGUAACGAUGCGCGUCUGGCGGGUACCGAAUAAGAAGGCCACGCCUAACUACGG